Molecule: long non-coding RNA, 404 nt
Organism: Epinephelus moara (kelp grouper)
Lineage: Eukaryota; Metazoa; Chordata; Actinopteri; Perciformes; Serranidae
Exons: 3
Source: RefSeq, a predicted model, not a curated record
AAAAGUGGAGGAUGUUUGAUAAAGUCUGACAUUUGAAGAGGGGAAGAUGACAACUAUCAUGUCGAUGAGGGGACUGAUACAUUUAACAAGGACAGCACCGCUGAUGAAGGCACCAGUGACUCUGCUGAGUCCUUAGGAUGGGUGUGGCACGCAGCCGUGCAAAGGUUGUCUCCAUGGUGAUAGAUGUGGGGUCAUCUCCAUGACGAUGGAUCGGAGGGGGUGUUGGCCGCCAAGGUCGCGGACCAAGGACAAGGCGAGAGUGAUUGCAGCCACCCAGACAGGAAAUCGAAGAGGAGCACUCCAAGGGGGGGUCGAGGAAAAAGGUGAACAGACGGGGAAAGGAGUACUUGACAUCAAGUGGAAGCCAGACAACGUGAAACCCACUCGUACACACACACAAAUAC